This 468-nucleotide ribosomal RNA is filed under the name uncultured bacterium. RNAcentral describes it as "partial 16S ribosomal RNA". It matches the Rfam family "Bacterial small subunit ribosomal RNA", at positions 28 to 507 of the family's 1533-position model. The record is from RNAcentral.
GACGAACGCUGGCGGCGUGCUUAACACAUGCAAGUCGAACGGAAAGGCCCUGCUUUUGUGGGGUGCUCGAGUGGCGAACGGGUGAGUAAAACGUGAGUAACCUGCCCUUGACUUUGGGAUAACUUCAGGAAACUGGGGCUAAUACCGGAUAGGAGCUCCUGCUGCAUGGUGGGGGUUGGAAAGUUUCGGCGGUUGGGGAUGGACUCGCGGCUUAUCAGCUUGUUGGUGGGGUAGUGGCUUACCAAGGCUUUGACGGGUAGCCGGCCUGAGAGGGUGACCGGCCACAUUGGGACUGAGAUACGGCCCAGACUCCUACGGGAGGCAGCGGUGGGGAAUAUUGCACAAUGGGCGGAAGCCUGAUGCAGCAACGCCGCGUGCGGGAUGACGGCCUUCGGGUUGUAAACCGCUUUCGCCUGUGACGAAGCGUGAGUGACGGUAAUGGGUAAAGAAGCACCGGCUAACUACGUG